AAAAAUAUUUUAUAUAUAAAUAAGUUUUGAAUUUAUAAUACAACAACCGGAUAAAAAGAACUAAGGGUCGUUCAUCGCCUGGUAGAAUUCCUCACUCCUCCUCGCAACAUCCGCCUCGUUAUGUGUGUCGGAUGACUCGCCUAGAAUGGGAUGUUGUUGUCGCAUGUUCCUCAACAUGGACUCCCAUUCCGGAUUUGUGGCCGCUAUAACGUCCAAGAA
This 219-nucleotide long non-coding RNA is filed under the name Brassica napus (rape). RNAcentral describes it as "long non-coding RNA (BNAP_LNC011882)". The record is from RNAcentral. Lineage: Eukaryota; Viridiplantae; Streptophyta; Magnoliopsida; Brassicales; Brassicaceae.